RNAcentral lists this unclassified non-coding RNA (595 nucleotides) under Schoenus andinus. Its description in RNAcentral is "partial external transcribed spacer". The record is from RNAcentral. Lineage: Eukaryota; Viridiplantae; Streptophyta; Magnoliopsida; Poales; Cyperaceae.
CUCUUGACUUGCUUUGCACGGCGGGCUCCCUGCACUUUGGUGCGGCCAACCGCCGUGGAGCUGUCUUUUCACUAUUUCUUCCGUUGUGCUCUAGAAGCCGGGGAAGAAUGCUUGGAAUCGGUCGUCUGUGCGGUUGUACCCUCGUGUGGUAUGUUCUCGGUGGACUUUAUAAUGCUUGUGCUGUUGAUAACUUUUAUCAACGGGCGCAGUCGAUUUGAUGGCAUAGUACAUGUGCGGCUGUGGGCGAAUGCCCUAUUGUUGCAUACGUAUUUUGUCGGCUCUCGUGGAUGCGGUGCCCAUCGAGGAUAUUCCAUGGGCCUUUGGCCUGUGGAUUUCUUCGGGAUGUCCCUUGCGCAUUGAUCAUUGCUCCGCCGCUCCGCUCUUGUCCUGCCAAAUGUCGGGAUUUUUGAGCAUUGCUCGCAGGGUGUGCUCUUGCGCAUGCGAGAUGUUUGUCCCAUUGAAUUGAAUGAGCGAUUGCCGUAUGUCGUUGUGUGAAAGUGCUCUCCCGUCUUAGUGUUGUCACAGAGAUGCGGGGUGUGCCGGAAGACGGCGCGUUGGCUCUCGUUUAAGACGUGCUACCUGGUUGAUCCUGCCA